Molecule: transfer RNA, 63 nt
Filed under: Chryseobacterium sp. PvR013
Lineage: Bacteria; Pseudomonadati; Bacteroidota; Flavobacteriia; Flavobacteriales; Weeksellaceae
Description: tRNA-Lys
Rfam family: tRNA
About the family: Transfer RNA (tRNA) molecules are approximately 80 nucleotides in length. Their secondary structure includes four short double-helical elements and three loops (D, anti-codon, and T loops). Further hydrogen bonds mediate the characteristic L-shaped molecular structure. tRNAs have two regions of fundamental functional importance: the anti-codon, which is responsible for specific mRNA codon recognition, and the 3' end, to which the tRNAs corresponding amino acid is attached (by aminoacyl-tRNA synthetases). tRNAs cope with the degeneracy of the genetic code in two manners: having more than one tRNA (with a specific anti-codon) for a particular amino acid; and 'wobble' base-pairing, i.e. permitting non-standard base-pairing at the 3rd anti-codon position.
Source: RNAcentral
AGCUCACAAAAUAGAGCAUCCCGAUUUUUAAUCGGGACGGCAAAGGUUCGAAUCCUUUCGCGC